Molecule: long non-coding RNA, 620 nt
Organism: Carassius auratus (goldfish)
Lineage: Eukaryota; Metazoa; Chordata; Actinopteri; Cypriniformes; Cyprinidae
Exons: 3
Source: RefSeq, a predicted model, not a curated record
AUAGGUUGGUUUCACGUGACGUCACAUUGCUUCUUCGCGAACGCGCGAAAUUCAGAUGGAGGGCAGGAAGUGAAUUCGCGAGGAUCUGCCGUCUGUAAAAAUGCCCAUGUUUUGUGCAGUUUACGGCUGCUCCAAUCGUUCUAACCGUGAAAAAGGAAAGGGUUUUUUCAGAGUUCCAAAGAUUGUCGUCCAUAAAGGUGAGAAAUGUAAAAAGCUCACAGAACAACGACGUAAAGUGGAUUUUAAACGUACGUCUGCGGUCGGGAGGAGCAGAGUCUGCUAAUGCCCGUGUCUGCAGCGACCACUUUGUCGGAGGCUGCCCUAGCGCUUUGGUUGACGUUGAGUCGGUAGACUGGGCUCCGACAGUCAACCUCGGUUACCAAAAAAUUAAGCCCAAAUCAGAGGCAUCUCUGCAACGAGAGCAGAGGAUGAAGCUCAAGGAAGACAAACAAAGAUGGUCGGAAUGUGCAGAGGCUAUGUUGAAUCUCCAACAGACAGCUGAGAGCCCGGAUCUAACGCAGACAGCCGAGAGCUCCGAACCGAAGCAGUCAGCUGACAUCUCACAGUCAAAGGACAUCAGUGGGAAUGGGACAUUAAAUGAUCAAGACUAUGCAGAUGCC